RNAcentral lists this ribosomal RNA (373 nucleotides) under uncultured organism. RNAcentral describes it as "partial 16S ribosomal RNA". It matches the Rfam family "Bacterial small subunit ribosomal RNA", at positions 527 to 896 of the family's 1533-position model. The record is from RNAcentral.
GGGGGGUGCGAGCGUUAUUCGGAAUCAUUGGGCGUAAAGGGCGCGUAGGCGGUCUCUUAAGUCAGGUGUGAAAGCCUUCCGCUUAACGGAAGAAGUGCACUUGAAACUAAGGGACUUGAGUAUGGGAGAGGGAAGUGGAAUUCCUGGUGUAGCGGUGAAAUGCGUAGAUGUCAGGAGGAACACCGGUGGCGAAGGCGACUUCCUGGACCAAUACUGACGCUGAGGCGCGAAGGCGUGGGGAGCAAACAGGAUUAGAUACCCUGGUAGUCCACGCAGUAAACGGUGAACACUAGGUGUAGUGGGUAUUGACCCCCCUGCUGUGCCGCAGUUAACGCAUUAAGUGUUCCGCCUGGGGAGUACGGCCGCAAGGUUA